Molecule: ribosomal RNA, 403 nt
Filed under: uncultured bacterium
Lineage: Bacteria
Description: partial 16S ribosomal RNA
Rfam family: Bacterial small subunit ribosomal RNA
Source: RNAcentral
AUUGAACGCUGGCGGCAGGCCUCACACAUGCAAGUCGAGCGAGCGGCGGACGGGUGAGAAAUGUAUGGGGACUGCCCGAUAGAGGGGGAUAACUACUGGAAACGGUGGCUAAUACCGCAUACCAUCGGAUAACCCAUAUGAGAUUAGCUAGUAGGUGGGGUAAAGGCUCACCUAGGCGACGAGCUCUAGCUAGUCGGAGAGGAUGAUCCACGACACUGGGACGUAGACACGGCCCAGUGUCCUACGGAGGCAGCAGUGGGGAAUAGUUCGCAUUGGGGGUAAGCAUGAUGCAACCAUGCCACGUGUAUGAAGAAGGCCUUAGGGUUGUAAGGUACGUUCAGCGGGGAGGCGUUACCCGCAUAAGAAGCACCGGCUAACUCCGUGCCAGCAGCCGCGGUAAUAC